CAAGACAGCUACCAGUUUGGCAAUUUGUAUUUCAAGGGUCUGCAGGAGAGGGAGCGGGAUAACCCUUUAUUAAAGAGUGGAUUCCGCAAGUGGGCAGACACUUAUGCACAGUUUGAGGGCACAUUCAGGAUGGAUUAUGCUGCGGCGCACAAGAAAGUGUCGGAGCUAGGCAUGAACGCAGCAACGUCAGGGAAGGGAGGCACACGAACUGAUCAAAAGUCUUCAGCAACUGGCACUGGGAAUCGUGCCAAGUUGGUGCAGCGCAUCGGAAUUG
Long non-coding RNA from Neltuma alba, 274 nucleotides. RefSeq lists it as uncharacterized. The transcript has 3 exons. The record is from RefSeq and is a predicted model, not a curated record. NCBI's taxonomy places the organism in Eukaryota, Viridiplantae, Streptophyta, Magnoliopsida, Fabales, Fabaceae.